Molecule: unclassified non-coding RNA, 148 nt
Filed under: soil metagenome
Description: partial internal transcribed spacer 1
Source: RNAcentral
CCGAGUUUACAACUCCCAAACCCCUGUGAACAUACCUACUUGUUGCCUCGGCGGAUCAGCCCGCGCCCCGUAAAACGGGACGGCCCGCCAGAGGACCCCUAAACUCUGUUUCUUAGUGGAACUUCUGAGUAAAACAAUAAAUAAAUCA